Molecule: ribosomal RNA, 329 nt
Filed under: uncultured eukaryote
Lineage: Eukaryota
Description: partial 18S ribosomal RNA
Rfam family: Eukaryotic small subunit ribosomal RNA
Source: RNAcentral
CCCUUAGAUGUUCUGGGCGGCCCGCGCACUACAAUGGCGCUUUCAGCGAGUUCCUAUGUUGAAUUUUCCUUGGUAUUCUUGGAAGCGGCGUCUUGACUUGGGAUAGAUCCUUGUAAUUGUUGGUUUUGAACGAGGAAUUCCUUGUAAUCGCGGUUGAUCAGCUCGCGUUGAUUACGUCCCUGCCCUUUGUACACACCGCCCGUCGCUACUACCGAUUGAACGGUUUAGUGAGGGCCUCGGAUUGGUCUCGGCCCGCUCUUUACCGGGCGGCGCCGUUGGUCGAGAAGACGCUCGAACUUGAUCGUUUAGAGGAAGUAAAAGUCGUAACA